Non-coding RNA from Lolium perenne, 5849 nucleotides. The record is from RefSeq and is a predicted model, not a curated record. NCBI's taxonomy places the organism in Eukaryota, Viridiplantae, Streptophyta, Magnoliopsida, Poales, Poaceae.
CCUAUAAAUGUCCCUAGACUACCCGCUCAUUGGAGGCACCUGAGAGAGGCAAACAAAUCUGAUUCGUCCAAUCAGCAUGCAACAGUAAAUCUUACCCCCGCAGUGAAUUACCACCGUUGGAUUUGUCCCCGUGUUUGACACUUCCCAACUGGGUAAAAGGCUCGAUGACAUAUGGACCCAUAUGUGUUGUUGGUCCCGCUCCACAGAGAGCAGAAUAGCUCAUACUCGGUCCCUCAGAAAUAUUUGCAACGCAAGAUACGGUGAAAACCCUAGCUACCAAUCCCUUCGUGGCCUCGAGCCCCGCGCCUCUCCUCCGCCCAUUCUCCUCCCUCCCGUCCCCAAUCGCGUGCGUCCUCUCCUCCCCCGGUCCCUCCUCGCCCCUCUCACCUGCUCCCGUCCGUCAUCGUCCCCGUGCUGGCCGGAGAUGGGGCGACGCCGUCACCAUGGUGGUGCCGGAGGAGGUUGCCGAGCGGGGGCUCGGGGCCCGGAGCGGAAGGCUCCAGGCAACGGCGCCGCCCGCGGCGACGACGUGGUCAGGAAUCGGAGCAGGACGGGCGGGAUCCGGGACAGGACAUGCGGGAUCCGGGUCAGGGCCGGCCAAAUCGUGGCGGGCGGCGGAUUUCGCCUCCCAAUGGUGACACGCCUCUCCCAUCAAUGGAGCCGGACGGGGACGGCCGAGGUGGCAGGCCGGAGAAGGCGACGCGGGCGGGCAGCGGCUCGUCGCUUGGAGAAAGUCGCCCACGAUCCCGGGGCUCGAGAUCUCCGGUCAAGGCGACGUCGUGGAGGUUGCAGGCCGGCUCUCCUCCAAUCCCGUGCCUCCUCUCGUCCUCCCGAAUCAGCCGCCGCCUCCUCUGGUUCGCUCGAUCCCGUCGGACGGCCGGACGAGUUAGCGACGACGGAGGAGCAGGAGGGGUCGAGGUGCGCGGAUGGCGUGGAGGCAUCCACGACGGGACGGCCACGGUCGUGGGCCGUUGGAGCGCGCACGGAGGAGGGCAGCGGCGCGUCGGCUUGAGAUGGUCGUUCACAGCCGGCUGGAGCUCGAAAUCUCCUUCUCCAGUUUGUUGUCUGCUCCUCCCUGAACAGCUUGAGGCAGAGAAGAGCUGCAGAUCUCGUCAAAAAAAGGUUGGUCGUCGUUCCCUUCUUUAUCCCUGCUGAUUAGUCUCUCCAUGUGAGCUCAUUUUUCUGACUUUUGGUAGUCCCUUUAUAGAACACAGCUGAUGCCCACACAGCCUUAGUAUCUCAGCUUGAUUUAGUGAUUCUUUCUGAAGAUCUGAGAUAAAUUAAGCAUGGAUGGAUAGAGGUUCGUUGAUGGGUGCAGGUCUGACCACCAGCUGUUUUUUGAAGCCUUUCUCAAAGUGAUUUUUUUAGAACGAUAUUUCUUUUCUUGAUGCCUAUAAUAUACCUUGUUUAUGGCUGUGUAAAUCUGCAGGGGCUAUUUUUUUUUAGAAUGAUAUUUCUUUUCUUGAUGCCUAUAAUAUACCUUGUUGUUUCUGGCUGUGUAAAUCUGCAGGGGCAAUGAGAUGAGGUUUGUCAGUGAACUGAAAUUGCAUAUAUUCUACUGGUGUUUAGUAAAAUUUGCAGCUUUAGGUUAGAUUUUUUCAAUUUGAACAGCAACAAAUCCGAGUCCAUGGUUAUUUUGUAAAUUCCAUUGUUUCAAUUGUAUAUGAUCUUACACUUGUUGCCUUUCAACUCCAAAAUCUGCCUGAUACAAAACUGAUCCAAUAAUUAUUCUGUUACCGUAUACUGUGCCUCUGAACAUGUGCCUCUGAACAGAAUUUCAACAAUAGUGGUGCUAGGAGAGAAAAAGUUUUUUUUUCCAUUUACUCAUCCAGUGGGCUGGACACGGGGCCGGUGACGGCAUCGUCUGGAUGCGGCGGCGGCUGCGGCGGUGCUGGCCGCGGCGGACGCGAAGGAGGAGUCGCGCCUGGCCGAGGUCGGGCGGGAGGAGGCGGCGCGGCAGCGGGCGGCGGACGGGGGUCACCGUGCUGCGGGAGGCCAGGUGUGCCGCGGUGCAGCAGCGCAAGCGCCUCCACCCGACCCGUAGCGAGCUGCACCGGCCGCCCCACGCCCCCACCCGAGGCGGAGAGGCUAGCGGCGAGUGGUGUGGAGCUGCAUGUGAGAGGAAGGAGGGUUGGGUGUCCCUUCUUCUUGUCCUUCACGACCUUGGGUUGCAAGGAGCCAACUCGGGGAGGACUCGAGGCUCAGUGGCGUUCCUUACGGCCGCCCGGGAUCCCCUCUCCUUCUUCUUUUAAUCCAUCUGGAGAUAAGGUCCACAUCUAAUUUUAGAGAAAUCGCGGUUCGUUACGUUGGAUGUUUGAGGUCUAGCAUUCUGUACCUGGAGGAAAUAAGACGAGGCAUGUGUUUUAGUUUCGAUGAAACUAUCAGAGCUGAACUGUAACACAUAUCAGGUUGUAAAUCAUAGAAGCUAUGAGAGCCGAACUGUAAUAAGAUGAGGCAUGUGUUACAGUUUGUGGGUAUUAGAUAACUAAAUUUGCAGUGCAGGUUGUAAAUCAUCUAGAGCAGAAUGUAUUGGAUGAUAUUUAGUAGUAAUAGCAUAGUAAAGUUGGCCAACAAAUGAUCCUUUGCAUCAAUCUUCUGGUAUUUCUUGUUUCUACGGUCUGGAUUUUUUUUGUGAUUUUACCAUGUAUACUAAGUUGUGUCUCUGAAUUUAGAUAUGUUGAUUGUUUUUCUUUCCUCUUUUUAGAAUAUUGGGACAGUGAUCCUAUUUUGGCUCCCAUCAACUAAUAUUCAGCAGUUACCCUUGCUUUCUCUGAUCAUUUCCUCAAGAUCUUCAGGCUUUUAUUGGUUGUCAGUUUGUUACGUUGAAGCAGGCUGUUUGGGUUUGUGCCUACCCUAUUGUGUGAAUCCAAGCACCACCAAGGCAGUAAGGUUCAAGGAAAGCAUAUCAGUUAUUGUAGUUCAUAGGGUAAAGCUUUAAUUGGUUGUAGUUGUUUGGAUUUCUGAAUUGUUGCAACACUUCAUGCUGCCCUUUGCUUAUUGGAAAUUGGUGUUCUUAUUUCUCCCGCCAUGUGCUGAUUAUAUUCAAUACUUGUUGUGUCAUCUGAGAAGCAUGUAUUUAUAUCCUGAACAUCAUCAUUCUAAGAAGUGUAGCCUGUAAGUGCCGCAGAAUUUGAUUUUAUUGUGUUUUUGCGAUGUUACCUAUAUCAAGAGUUGCAAGCACGAGUACCAUCUCAAAGCAUAUGCUAUUCAAUUUAUUUACCGCAAGUCUGCUACAUGGUACUAUCAUCUUCUGCUGGCUACUAGAUACAUCCCAGUAACUAGGCCCCCUUAUUAUAUUUUUCUUGUGUCAUUUGUGUAUUCCUAGACUGUCUGGUGUUCUGAUCAACAGAUUAAGAACUGCCACUGGUAUAAAUAUUAAAUAGUCAGCUUAUUUUAGUAGUUCUCCUGUGAAAUUCAUACCGGCUCGUUUUAAUAUAAUGGUUUGCCUAUAUGCAACCAGGUAAGAGCACUCUUGUGCAGCCAUGGGAAUUUCUCUUUUGCUGAUUCCUGGGGGUUCAUAGUUCGUUAUUAUGUGCUGAUUCAGCGGGGUCGUGCGCCAAGGCGCACAUCCUGAAAAAUUGAAAAAUAGGGCGGGGAAGGCAACUACCACCGGCGGUUGUCUGGCUUGUGGGUGCAUCCGGGUUGCCAUUUUACAACAUUAGAGAUUAGAGAAUGUACUGUUAUGUCCACAUCUAUAUUGUAUUUUGAAUCGUUCCUUUUUCAUGCAUUGACGGUCGUUUCCUUGUUUUAGUCUAUUUGAGACAUGUUUCCUGGUGUCAGCGACGCAUAGGUACCAUGUGGUUUACUCGUCUUAUUUUUCUCCUCUUUUAUCAUGUAUAUCUUGGUGAAUGUUCAGCAGCUUAUGUGCUAUUUUUCCCCUACUAAACAGAAUUUCCUCUAUGUAGAGUUUGAUUGUGUAUUCAGGUUAUUGAGUGUCCAUAAGAAUUUGAAACAGGCUACAGAUUAAUUUACUUUUGGUAAUCUAUGUUCAGUUGCAUUUCCAAAUAAAUGUUUCACUUAUCCCGCAAAAAAUCCUCUAUAGUUCAGUUGCAUGACUUUAAAAAAUCCAGUUAUAGGACUGAACAUAUUUGACAGUUUUUUUUCAUGUAGAUUAUGUUGUCAGGCGCAGAAUGUUGAUGGAGGCAUGUCAAUCGGGGAAGAAGACCAGACACGAGCGUCCUCCUCAAGGGCAACUCUAAUGCCUGCAGGGCCAAAUAUUUUUAGUAGACAUGAUGCUGGCACGGGGAAGGAGGCCUGCAGUUUAUGAUCCUGUAGUUUUUAUAUUUCUGCUCCACUGAUUUCAUAUGUAAAACUGUAAGAUUUAACCCUACGCGAUCAAUGGUGACACUUUCAGGGGAACCGACUGUCAGUUCAGAAUCAACGACAGUUACAACAUUCAGUUGGUGGCCUAUAUUCUGCACCAACAGUAGACAAUAUUUGUGUUAACCCAGAAAAGUUUGCAGCACGGUUUGAGAAGCUGGAAUGUACUGAAGAAGAUUACGAAGAAGAGCUUGAGUGUAUUGAGAAGGUCUUUUCUCCAUGGGUUGAGAAGUGCAAGCAGUUUUGUUACAUCUUGUUUCUUUGAUUUGUAUUGAGUAACAGUCCCUGAAAUCAUUAAUAUGGAGGACGUUUGCACAUGGUGGCACUUCAAACUGUAUGCAUGUCAGUUUUCCUCUUCUCAUCUUCCAUGCAAGGAGCUCAAAUUGGCACAUUUAACCUUCUGAUGAGCUCGCCUUGCCGCAGGUUCAAUUCGCUCCUUCACUAUUAUUAUCAAGUACAGUAUACUGGAGCAUAUCAACUUCUUAAAUUUAUGUUGCAGCCUAGAAUAUAUCAGCAUCAAAAAUAUAUCAGCCAGUUUCUGUACGGGAGAGAUAGGUGGUUCUGGAGGUCGAGCAGGGAGGAGGGAGCUAGAGAAGCGGUGCAGCGACAGAGUUGGAGGAUCAGGGAGGGGCUAUGUUGGCCCGGCUCUGUCCCUCACGAAGAUGAGCACAUCUCCCUCCUCACCCCUUCUGAGCUGAGCUUCUUCCAACUCAUGGCAGGGCUUGGUGGUCUCACAGGGGCAAGGAUGUGAUCAUGGCUAAGAUGAGGUGGCCUCACUGCUUGUAGGUUUUCCCACCACAUGCUUGGUUCAGACAUCUCGUCAUCCUUAGGAUCAGUUUAUCCUAUGGGCCUGUACUACAGUGUUUAUCUGGCGACGGGGAGCUACUGCUGCCGGAGCAAAAGACGCGUCUUCCCCGAGCUGAAGCCGCCAGCCACCGCUCCUGCUUGCUGCUGCUGCCGAGAAAAAUCGCAGGCUUCUUCAGUUAAACAAGAUACUACUACUAUAUAAUGGAAAAGUUAUAUAGGGCAAGCCUAAAUCUUCACAGCACCUCCUUGUAGAUACUACUACUCCAUUAUUUUCGGUGACAUGGGAAGAACUGAUGCAGAAAUUAUAGAACCCUAUGUGAAGAAAAUUAUGGAUGAGAAUCGUGGAUAGAAGUAUGGGUGUGGAGCCAUGGGGUGUUCAAAAGUUUUGCAUGCUCCUGAGUUUGUUCAAAAUCAUCUAAAACUCAAGCACCCUAACUUGGUCUCUGUGUUGACUUCUGGAUUUUUUUGGUGAUAUCACCUAAUCAUGUAUGCUGCUCAGUUGUGCGGUUGUGCCCCUUUGUCAUUGAAUUCAGCUUUGUUGAUUGUUAUUGCUUUCCUUUUUUUCAGAAUAUUGAUAUAGUGAUAUUAUUUCAACAUUGGUAAGCUGAAACAUGCCAUUUAUGUUUCUGCCUACCAUAGUUUGUGAAUCAGUCAUUUUGUGGAAUUGAACCUGCUCCGUUCAAUUACGAAACCAUCUACUUAGUACAUUCAGCAAUUGUUUU